Molecule: ribosomal RNA, 493 nt
Filed under: uncultured bacterium
Lineage: Bacteria
Description: bacterial SSU rRNA
Rfam family: Bacterial small subunit ribosomal RNA
Source: RNAcentral
AUUGAACGCUGGCGGCGUGCUUUACACAUGCAAGUCGAACGGCAGCAUGGGAGCUUGCUCCUGAUGGCGAGUGGCGGACGGGUGAGUAAAACAUCGGAACGUGCCUUAUAGUGGGGGAUAACGAGUUGAAAGAUUUGUCUAAUACCGCAUGAAUGUCUGAGGAUAAAAGACUGGGGAGUCAGAAAUGACCUGGCGCUAUGAGAGCGGCCGAUGGCCGAUUAGCUAGUUGGUGAGGUAAAAGACUUACCAAGGCGAUGAUCGGUAGCUGUUCUGAGAGGAAGAUCAGCCACACUGGGACUGAGACACGGCCCAGACUCCUACGGGAGGCAGCAGUGGGGAAUUUUGGACAAUGGGGGGGAACCCGUGAUCCAGCAACGCCGCGUGAAUGAAGAAGGCCUUAGGGUUGUAAAGUUCUUUUGUCUGGGAGCAAAGGUUGUAUGUUAAUAGUAUACAAAGAUGAGAGUACCAGAAGAAUAAGCACCGGCUAACUACG